This 586-nucleotide ribosomal RNA is filed under the name uncultured bacterium. Its description in RNAcentral is "bacterial SSU rRNA". It matches the Rfam family "Bacterial small subunit ribosomal RNA", at positions 338 to 916 of the family's 1533-position model. The record is from RNAcentral.
CCUACGGGAGGCAGCAGUGGGGAAUUUUUCGCAAUGGGGGCAACCCUGACGAAGCAAUGCCGCGUGGAUGAAGAAGGCCUUCGGGUUGUAAAGUCCUUUCGUGGGGGACGAAAAGGCGGAUCCGAAUACGGUCUGCUAUUGACGUGAACCCAAGAAGAAGCACCGGCUAACUCCGUGCCAGCAGCCGCGGUAAUACGGAGGGUGCGAGCGUUAAUCGGAAUUACAGGGCGUAAAGGGCGCGUAGGCGGUGGGUUACGUCUGCCGUGAAAUCCCCGGGCUCAACCUGGGAAUGGCGGUGGAAACGGGCUGACUGGAGUAUGGGAGAGGGUGAUGGAAUUCCAGGUGUAGCGGUGAAAUGCGUAGAGAUCUGGAGGAACACCAGUGGCGAAGGCGGUCACCUGGCCCAAUACUGACGCUGAGGCGCGAAAGCGUGGGGAGCAAACAGGAUUAGAUACCCUGGUAGUCACGCCCUAAACGAUGGAUACUGGAUGUUUGGCGCCUUAAGUGCUGAGUGUCGUAGCUAACGCGAUAAGUAUCCCGCCUGGGAAGUACGGCCGCAAGGUUAAAACUCAAAGGAAUUUGACGG